This 472-nucleotide ribosomal RNA is filed under the name uncultured bacterium. RNAcentral describes it as "partial 16S ribosomal RNA". It matches the Rfam family "Bacterial small subunit ribosomal RNA", at positions 28 to 507 of the family's 1533-position model. The record is from RNAcentral.
GACGAACGCUGGCGGCGUGCUUAACACAUGCAAGUCGAACGCUGAAGCUUGGUGCUUGCACUGGGUGGAUGAGUGGCACACGUGUGAGAAAUAAGUGAGUAACCUGCCCUUCACUCUGGUAUAAGCCUGGGAAACUGGGUCUAAUCCUGUAUACGACACUUCACCGCAUGGUGGUGUGUGGAAAUUGUUUUACUGGUUUUGGAUGGGCUCACGGCCUAUCAGCUUGUUGGUGGGGUAAUGGCUCACCAAGGCGCCGACGGGUAGCCGGCCUGAGAGGGUGACCGGCCACACUGGGACUGAGACACGGCCCAGACUCCUACGGGAGGCAGCAGUGGGGAAUAUUGCACAAUGGGCGGAAGCCUGAUGCAGCGACGCCGCGUGAGGGAUGACGGCCUUCGGGUUGUAAACCUCUUUCAGCACGGAAGAAGCGAAAGUGACGGUAAGUGCAGAAGAAGCGCCGGCUAACUACGUG